GACGAACGCUGGCGGCGUGCUUAACACAUGCAAGUCGAACGGCAAGGCCCUGCUUUUGUGGGGUGCUCGAGUGGCGAACGGGUGAGUAACACGUGAGUAACCUGCCCUUGACUUUGGGAUAACUUCAGGAAACUGGGGCUAAUACCGGAUAGGAGCUCCUGCUGCAUGGUGGGGGGUGGAAAGUUUCGGCGUUUGGGGAUGGACUGGCGGGUGAUCAGCUUGUUGGUGGGGGAGUGGCUUACCAAGCCAUUGACGGGUAGCCGGCCUGAGAGGGUGAACGGCCACAAUGGGACUGAGAUACGGCGCAGACGGGUACGGGAGGCAGCGGGGGGGAAUAUGGCACAGCGGGACGAAGCCUGAGGCAGCAACGCUGCGUGCGGGAUGACCGCCUUCGGGGUGUAAACCGCUUUCGCUUGUGACGAAGCGUGAGUGACGGUAAUGGGUAAAGAAGCACCGGCUAACUACGUG
This 468-nucleotide ribosomal RNA is filed under the name uncultured bacterium. Its description in RNAcentral is "partial 16S ribosomal RNA". It matches the Rfam family "Bacterial small subunit ribosomal RNA", at positions 28 to 507 of the family's 1533-position model. The record is from RNAcentral.